GAUGAACGCUGGCGGCGUGCCUAAUACAUGCCAGUCGAGCGAACAGACGAGGAGCUUGCUCCUCUGACGUUAGCGGCGGACGGGUGAGUAACACGUGGAUAACCUACCUAUAAGACUGGGAUAACUUCGGGAAACCGGAGCUAAUACCGGAUAAUAUAUUGAACCGCAUGGUUCAAUAGUGAAAGACGGUUUUGCUGUCACUUAUAGAUGGAUCCGCGCCGCAUUAGCUAGUUGGUAAGGUAACGGCUUACCAAGGCAACGAUGCGUAGCCGACCUGAGAGGGUGGUCGGCCACAAUGGAACUGAGACACGGUCCAGACUCCUACGGGAGGCAGCAGUAGGGAAUCUUCCGCAAUGGGCGAAAGCCUGACGGAGCAACGCCGCGUGAGUGAUGAAGGUCUUCGGAUCGUAAAACUCUGUUAUUAGGGAAGAACAAAUGUGUAAGUAACUAUGCACGUCUUGACGGUACCUAAUCAGAAAGCCACGGCUAACUACGUG
This 497-nucleotide ribosomal RNA is filed under the name uncultured bacterium. RNAcentral describes it as "partial 16S ribosomal RNA". It matches the Rfam family "Bacterial small subunit ribosomal RNA", at positions 28 to 507 of the family's 1533-position model. The record is from RNAcentral.